RNAcentral lists this ribosomal RNA (497 nucleotides) under uncultured bacterium. RNAcentral's name for it is "partial 16S ribosomal RNA". It matches the Rfam family "Bacterial small subunit ribosomal RNA", at positions 28 to 507 of the family's 1533-position model. The record is from RNAcentral.
GAUGAACGCUGGCGGCGUGCCUAAUACAUGCAAGUCGAGCGAACAGACGAGGAGCUUGCUCCUCUUACGUUAUCGGCUGACGGGUGAGUAACACGUGGAUAACCUACCUAUAUGACUUGGAUAACUUCGUGAAACCGGAGCUAAUACCGGAUAAUAUAUUCAACCUCAUGGUUCAUUAGUUAAUGACGUUUUUGCUGUCUCUUAUAGAUUGUUCCGCGCCGCAUUAGCUAGUUGGUAAGGUAACGGCUUACCAAGGCAACGAUGCGUAUCCGACAUGAGAGGGGGAGCGGCGACACGGGAAGUGAGACACGGACCAGAGAACGACGGGAGGCAGCAGUAGGGAAUAUGGCGCAAUGGGGGAAAGCAUGACGGAGCAAAGCCGCGUGAGUGAAGAAGGACUUCGGAUCGUAAAAAUAUGUUAUUAGGGAAGAAAAAAUGUGGAAGAAAAUAUGGACGUAAUGACGGUAACUAAUAAGAAAGCAACGGCUAACUACGUG